UCGGAUUGGAAAGGCAGUUGAGGGGAAGGGCCCCCUGAGGUUAAAGCUGAAAGGGGGGGUAUGGAACAGAAUUAAAAUCCCUUGAUAUUCCGCCACGAUAAAAGAAGGAAUGCCGGCGGUUUCCCCCCGGGAGCAGCGGCUAAGUGAAAACGUUAAGCAUCCCACCUGGGGAGUACGCCGGCAACGGUGAAACUCAAAGGAAUAGACGGGGGCCCGCACAAGCGGAGGAACAUGUGGUUUAAUUCGAUGAUACGCGAGGAACCUUACCCGGGCUUGAAUUGCAGAUGAAAGAUCCAGAGAUGGUGAUGCCCUUCGGGGCAUCUGUGAAGGUGCUGCAUGGUUGUCGUCAGCUCGUGCCGUGAGGUGUCGGCUUAAGUGCCAUAACGAGCGCAACCCCUCUCUUCAGUUGCCAUCAGGUAGUGCUGGGCACUCUGGAGACACUGCCACCGCAAGGUGUGAGGAAGGUGGGGAUGACGUCAAAUCAGCACGGCCCUUACGUCCGGGGCUACACACGUGUUACAAUGGGGGGCACAGAAAGCCGGGUGCGCGCAAGCACGACCCAAUCCAUAAAUCCCCCCCCAGUUCGGACUGGGGUCUGCAACCCGACCCCACGAAGCUGGGUUCGCUAGUAAUCGCGCAUCAGCCAUGGCGCGGUGAAUACGUUCCCGGGCCUUGUACUCACCGCCCGUCAAG
RNAcentral lists this ribosomal RNA (693 nucleotides) under uncultured bacterium. RNAcentral describes it as "bacterial SSU rRNA". It matches the Rfam family "Bacterial small subunit ribosomal RNA", at positions 708 to 1401 of the family's 1533-position model. The record is from RNAcentral.